AAGGACAAGAGGACAUAAGCAGAAAAAUUCAGCUAGAUGCAAUGUUAUGGAGAUCUGAUCCGCUCCUUUGGUGAGGUCAUUCAAGUAGCUGGCUCAAGCAUAGAGCAAACAAUGACAUCAGACUCAAACAAACGUCAAGCCUGAUAGACACUGUCGAAAGAUGUUUCCAUGGGAAUGGCUCCAUUUCAGGGCUGUACUGUCAUGUGCUGACACAUUUUCAGGGAAAUGAAUGAGGAUUGCUGCAUAUCUGGCAGUUCUAUUCCUGACACUAAGUAGACUGCCAACUUCGUCCCAUGGGAGUAAGGACGGGUUGCCAGGUUCGGGUCAAAGAAGACGACACUUCCUAUUAAUUCAUCCAUCAGGUCUGCCAGGAUCAUAAUGACUGGUGACAGCUUAAGACUACUGUCUGACGUCUUCAUUAGACCCAUGUGUGCAGGAUGAAUAAAUGAAUAAAUGAUGACAGAAUUUUAAAUUCUGGGUAACUAUCUCUUAAAAAAAAAGUAUAAAGAGAGAAAUAGGCUGCAGGAGAAGAAAAACACAAGAAGGGGAAGGUGAAACACACUGCACAAAGACUAUGAGAGGAAGAAAAGUGGGUGAAACGAAGGGGCGUGAGAGAACGAGCGACUGAAAGACGGGGUGAGUGCACGAGAACAAGAACCACCACAUCCGUCUGUUCGGGGGUGCUUUAAAUUCACGGCAUUCACUAAAUUCAGCAGAAUCAUCAGACUGGAGUGGAUGGGACCUGAAGGACAUUGACGUCCCCUCUCAACUCAACCGCACUCCAUCCACAUCCUACAUCUGUCUAUUCAACACCAUCAUCAAGCACAGGGAAUCAAUGACACCAAUGAUAGCACAGUCCAGCAUCACCCCGCCAAAGGACAGCGGGGAGAUUGCUUCUCUCCCUCUCAGCGGUACAAAAGCAGCUUUGAGUGAAGUAUUCUUCAGCGGAAUGCAGAACCCCACUGAGAGAGCCUCUCUGAAAUGAUAUCUAUAUCGCGGGCCGGAGUUGAACAUAGAUUUUUUGAAUACAUUUAUGAAGCUGCUCCCCAAGAGGUCAGUGGGUGGAGGACAGUCUCAUCUUAAGCAAAAAGUUCCGCUUUUCAUAUGGACAAGAUGGUGGCGAGCCAAAAAUGCAAUGGAAAAGAAACUAAUUAACAGGAUGCAUCCGGUUGUUGAAUCCGAAAAUGGCAGGAGUAGGAGGAGACGGAAAGGAAAUCUCUAAAUUUAGUGCUGCUUUACUGCAAUAAUACAAGAUUAAAUGCAUAACUCUUCUGAAAAUGUUAUAACGGAUGCCAGCCACCAGUGAUGGUAGUCAUAAUUCUGGCCCUGUUAAAGAGAUGAGAAUUAUUUUAGUACUGCCUCAUCCCUGCCCAAUUGGCACCUGUGCCCGCAUAUUUUUACAGUCCCAUGGUUGCCGCAUGGCCAAGUUUCUCUGUGAGCUUAUGAAAAUAGCAGGUACUUUGAAUAUAUUAUCAAAC
Molecule: long non-coding RNA, 1478 nt
Organism: Cyprinus carpio carpio
Lineage: Eukaryota; Metazoa; Chordata; Actinopteri; Cypriniformes; Cyprinidae
Source: Ensembl